Molecule: unclassified non-coding RNA, 102 nt
Organism: Microcebus murinus (gray mouse lemur)
Lineage: Eukaryota; Metazoa; Chordata; Mammalia; Primates; Cheirogaleidae
Rfam family: Y RNA
About the family: Y RNAs are components of the Ro ribonucleoprotein particle (Ro RNP), in association with Ro60 and La proteins. The Y RNAs and Ro60 and La proteins are well conserved, but the function of the Ro RNP is not known.
Source: Ensembl
AGUUGGUCCAAGUGCAGUGGUGUCUACAAUUAAUUGAUCACAGCCAGUUACAGAUUCCUUUGUUCCUUCUUCACUCCCACUGCUUCACUUGACCAGCCUAAA